GAUGAACGCUGGCGGCGUGCCUAAUACAUGCAAGUCGAGCGAACAGACGAGGAGCUUGCUCCUCUGACGUUAGCGGCGGACGGGUGAGUAAAACGUGGAUAACCUACCUAUAAGACUGGGAUAACUUCGGGAAACCGGAGCUAAUACCGGAUAAUAUAUUGAACCGCAUGGUUCAAUAGUGAAAGACGGGUUUGCUGUCACUUAUAGAUGGAUCCGCGCCGCAUUAGCUAGUUGGUAAGGUAACGGCUUACCAAGGCGACGAUGCGUAGCCGACCUGAGAGGGUGAUCGGCCACACUGGAACUGAGACACGGUCCAGACUCCUACGGGAGGCAGCAGUAGGGAAUCUUCCGCAAUGGGCGAAAGCCUGACGGAGCAACGCCGCGUGAGUGAUGAAGGUCUUCGGAUCGUAAAACUCUGUUAUUAGGGAAGAACAAAUGUGUAAGUAACUAUGCACGUCUUGACGGUACCUAAUCAGAAAGCCACGGCUAACUACGUG
RNAcentral lists this ribosomal RNA (497 nucleotides) under uncultured bacterium. Its description in RNAcentral is "partial 16S ribosomal RNA". It matches the Rfam family "Bacterial small subunit ribosomal RNA", at positions 28 to 507 of the family's 1533-position model. The record is from RNAcentral.